This is a long non-coding RNA of Rhinolophus ferrumequinum (greater horseshoe bat), 1032 nucleotides long. RefSeq lists it as uncharacterized. The record is from RefSeq and is a predicted model, not a curated record. Lineage: Eukaryota; Metazoa; Chordata; Mammalia; Chiroptera; Rhinolophidae. The transcript has 3 exons.
AAUAUCCCUUAGGAGGCUCCACUGCAGGGAGACAGACAAUAAAGAAGAUAAGUAUAGUGUAUGCCGGGCGGUAGUAAGUGCUAAAGAGAAAAAUUAAGCAGGGAAAGUGGGUGGUAAUUUUAGAUAUGCCAUAAACUUAUUUUCACACUGUCAGGAAAUGCUUGUUCUGAUUUUCACUUCUUUUUAAAUAAUCCUGACCCCUAAACCGAUGAACAUGUGGACAGGCAAGUUCCUCUUUACCGCUGCAGAGAUGUAUUUUAUUUUAACCUGAGCAUCACCUGAGAGUCUGGAGGCCUGGAACCAAAUGUCAGAGCACUGAAGGAGCCCGAUGACAGCGCAUAUUACAGCCACACUGUGGCUUUGGCAAUUUUCACAGGAACCAGACACAAUACCUCCGCUUGGUGAUAAUUCAAACCUCCUUCUGAGCCAAUCUUUCAACAAAUCUUGCAGCAAACAGCCUAUGAUUUUUUUGAACUUUAACCUCGAUUAGCAGUCCUUCCAAGACAGGUUUUCUCGGGCUGGCUGGUGGCGCUCAGAGCGGAGCACGCGGACCCCCUUCAUGACAACGGCAGGACCGAUGCACGGCGCUCACACGAGUGUGUGCCAACCCCUUUGCUAAGUGCCUUCCAAAUACCAGCUGACUUCAUCUUCACAACAACCCUCUGGCAUAGGAGGUCCUUGAUCUCCAUUUCACAAACGCAGAUAGGCUAAGAGGUUGACCUGCCCAAGGUCACACAGCUGACAGACCUGGAAGCACAGGUCCGAGACCUCGGCAGCGUCUCAUCCCACAGAGUCACGCUCACACGCUCAACGCGCCAGAGCGUGUGCUCGGAAAUCAGAGACCCGAACUCCAGCCCUGGUGGGGCAGGACUGAAGCGGAGUGUCCUCGAGUGUGACACGGAACAAUAGCAGGCGAGCCGGCGGUGGUGGCAUGGAAUGGGGAGCACCGCUGUCCAGCAGCGCGUGGGCCGCGCUACCAGCCCUCUGGUCCAGUCCCGCCCUCCUGCGGCGUGUCACUGGGGCGGCCACACA